UACAGCCAUAUCACAUUUUAACAUUGGUUCCCGUAUGAUCACCAAAGUUAAGUGAUGUUGAGCCUGGUCAGUACCUAGAUAGGUGACCCCUUGGGAAUAACAGAUGCUGUA
Molecule: non-coding RNA, 111 nt
Organism: Acanthosepion pharaonis
Lineage: Eukaryota; Metazoa; Mollusca; Cephalopoda; Sepiida; Sepiidae
Source: the annotation of a GenBank genome assembly